GCUUAUGAGGCAAGUUCAGUCUAGAGGGCAUGUUGGGGAUGACAUCAGAUCAGAUUCGGAAUCUGAAGAGGAACAUGAGGAUUAAUAUUUUUCAAGAACAUAACAUGAGGAUUGAUCAAACCACGUAGAUUCUGAAGAUCAAGAGGAACAUGAUGAUUAUCUGAACUGUUUCUGUUUUAUCUGCUUCCUUAUGUCAUAGAUCUGAUAUAUUAGCAUGCUGUGCCAUGUGUCUGAAUCAUUGAUCUGUCAUGCUUGUCCUUCUCCGGGUAAAAUUCACAGAUAGAUGUCAUGAGAGCAUUUUGCAUUUGUGUAAACUUAGGGCAAACUGUAUACUAUCCUUAUUUAAAAAAAGUGUAUAGUGUCACAUUGAUACAAUAUGUGA
This is a long non-coding RNA of Lolium rigidum, 382 nucleotides long. RefSeq lists it as uncharacterized. The transcript is spliced from 2 exons. NCBI's taxonomy places the organism in Eukaryota, Viridiplantae, Streptophyta, Magnoliopsida, Poales, Poaceae. The record is from RefSeq and is a predicted model, not a curated record.